Conger conger (European conger) is the source of this 2800-nucleotide long non-coding RNA. RefSeq lists it as uncharacterized. Lineage: Eukaryota; Metazoa; Chordata; Actinopteri; Anguilliformes; Congridae. The record is from RefSeq and is a predicted model, not a curated record. The transcript has 2 exons.
UUGCUCCCGCAUCGGUGAAAGGUAAGCUUUCAAUGCGUUUUCUAAUGAAAUUUAUAUUAAAAUCGGAAGAUUGAUUUAUAUUUUCGUGUUCGCGAUGGUCAGAGCGGGCUAGCCGGUUGGCUUUCGUGCCGUUUUUCGGGCUGUUUAAUACGUUUGUAUGACUUAAACGGCACCGAAUUCGUUCGCUUUCCAGGUGUAUAAACACAUUAUGUAUGCAUUUUUACAUUAGAAAUAUAUCGUAAGACAAAGCUGGCAUGUCGCACAUUUCGUUUUAAUUAUAAAACGUAAUAUUAGUUUGCUUGCAAGGUGGAUAGCUGCUUUGGCAAGCUAGCUACCGACCGAACCGGAAUCAUACAGUAGAAUCUGUGUGUACAGUAAUGUUUUGACUCCCCAGUGUAAUAAUUUCUUUCGAAAUGUUUAAGAAAUGUUUUGGCAUAAACGACAACUGUGAGUCAGUAAUGGCAUCUCAGUCGCUCAUUUAAAAUAUAUUACAAUUUAAAGCAUACUUUAUGUAACUUCCCAUAUUCUCAAACCUUGUGAUUUGUUUGCAUCUUUAUUUUGACUGUGUUUUAUAAAGUAUUGUCAGUUUGGUAUAAUACAAUUUGAAUUAACUGUUGUUUCAUUGUAAUAUUUAUCAGAGAAAGAAGGAUCUCCUUGAAAUAGGAAUGGUUUGGGUUAGAGAUUCAACGUGUUUAUGCAUGCUUUGUAGCUUUGUCCUGUCAUCCAUCCAUCGCUGCCUAGCUGCGGCUUUCAUCCUGCACCCCCUGGUGUACUGGCACUGGGCAAAUUAAUGGCAUUACUGCAGAUGCACUUUCUAAUGUACAUCACUAACAACCAUAAUAACUAUGCCGCUUAUUUGGGCUGGGCUGCAUGUAAUCGUAGACUUUUCUACAUGCUGUACCUUUAUAAUUUUAUUUGACCUUCUGAAGCUCUUUUAUGCUUAAAUUAUAUUAUUAUUCUUUGUUAAGCAAUUAUUUUAUGUUCACACUCAUUGUAUGCCCGUAGUCGUACUUAACAACAAGCACAACUUGCUCUGAGUAAAUCCCUGCACUGUUUACUGUUUACUUUGUACUUUUGCACUACCACCAUUGCACACAAUCUACCAUAGCAUCUCUUAGCAUGGUCAAUAUAUCACAGGGCCAGUCCCUACUAGGCCUUUGUAAUCACUUCACAUGCUCUUUACUUCUUACUUUUCUGUGAGUGAUUUUGAUCUUUAUGUGUGUGAGAUAUGUGUGUAUGUAUAAGCUACUGGAUGCCUAAAAUUUCCCUCGGGAUGAAUAAAGUAUCUAUCUAUCUAGUUAAACAGCAUCUCAUUUCAAUGCUUGAUUGACACAAACACUCUGACAGCGAUGUCGUAGAGGUCCCACACCCGCUCCCCCCGCCUCCACCUCCCACCACCGCCUCCACCUCCAGCCACUGCCGGCGGAGAAGAGGAGGGACAGGCCCAAGCCACAGCCUCUUUGAGCUGAACCAGCGCACUCUCUCCCAGUGGUUCUCCCCGGAGGCCGAAGGCGUGGGAGAGAGCUGUGCUUCAGCAGGACGUGGUGGGUACCCGCGUCCCUGCCAUUGCGUACCAGCAGCUGCCUCCACCACGGCGGCUCCUUCAGGGUGACAAGGCGACCGGACAAGCGGCCUUCGUCUUUGUCACCCCAGAAGACCGAUCACGCCAGGCCACCCAGCGAGGAAGGAACGCCCCACGCGCCCAUCCUGCCGGCCUCCGUCCCAGCCCAGCCCUGGCCUGCCACCACCACCGUGCCCGCUGCUACAAUACGGACGACAGUGUGAGGAGAAGUACAUCUGCCUAAAGUGCGGACAGCCGAAACAGCGGCAAUUUGGUCAUAGCCGUUUGGGCAACAUCGCGUUCUGCUCCACUGCUGCCAGCAAGUCGGUGCAGGAGUGGUUGGCAUGAAGGACACUCAUGGACGCUGAUCCACUGGCUGGGUGGAGGACGCUUUUAUUGUAUAUAGUUCUGUGAUCUGCCCUCUACUUGGACCGGUACCUUGGCGAGGUGUAGAGGCUUGCGUGUGCUGAAGACCCUCAGAGCUACAUUGCCUGCAGUCCUUGGACUGCUGGUCUGAGGUGAAGCACCAGACAAAAGCCGGUCCUGCAAUGGGAACAUUGAAAUGUCAAAAGUGUGCCCUUGGCUGCAUUUGUAAUGGACACUUUUUUUAUGUGGACACAGUAAAGCUCCCAGUAAUGUGCAUCAAUGUUUCCCAGUUUGUAUAGUGCUGUUACUUUGUCUAAAGUUCAGCAUAAUUAUGUAAAAAUUAUGUAAUACACACUUGUAUUACAGUGAAGCAGCUUGUGCAUCGAUGUUUGGAUCAUUGCGUAUUGCAAUCAUUUAAGGAAAUGCUUGUGAAAGGAAAUGCUUGUCUUUUGUUUCUGAAUUUAACAAUACUUGAUUUGAGUCUUUGAAAGUAGUCUUUGAAAGUGAGAAUGAUUUCCUUCCUUCUCAUUCAUACAAGUCAAAGCUUCAAAGCUUUUAAUGUCCUUCCUUCUCCUGCGUCACUGACUGCCUAGACAGGCAGGCAGGCAGGCAGUCAGUCCCAAGCCAAUUAUCCCUGCCAAAUGUGUUUUGGAUUGUGUACUGCAAUCACUGUUUUAUCUAACAAACGUAACGAAAAAAGUCAUCAAUAGAGUCAGUGAAAAGCAAACUGUCUUUUUUAAUUUUGUCUUUUUAUUUCAGUUAGUUAAUACAUUGCAUUGAUGUUCACAAUUACUACAUAUCUGUAUAAUUCAUUUCUUCUGCAGAAAUCAAUGUGUUGUAUUGGAAUAAAACAUACACAGAAAGCCAAAAGUC